GACCCACCACCCUUUAGUACGCUUGGGGGAGAAUGGAAAAAGAAAGAGAAGCGAAAGAGAGGGAAUAGAAAAUAAAAGAAAAUGCCGCUACUGAUGCUACGACUGGUCCUUGGCAUCCGCCAGUAGGGACCCCGUAUCGACCUGGAUUGGAUGAAUAGAAAAGUUCCCUCUAUCUGGUGACUGGUGAACGUACUUUGGAUAUUUUCCCUACUCCUAUUGCGUCUUUGAUUCAUCAAUUCCAAUCUAUGAAUUAGGAAUCCAAUUCGGUAUCUUGCGUACGAAUUCAUGUUGUCAACGAGGAUGAGGAUAUUAUGUUUUACCACCCAACUGUAUAAAGAAAAAUAAGACUUAAAAGGGAAUGCCUUUGAGAGCAGAAUGUAGGAACCUAGCUUCCCUUCGUCCUCCACAUAUAUAUUUUUCGGAGGUUUAUUGUGAUCAAGAAAAGAACUAUUAGAAUCCGUCUUGUUCUGUUCUUUCCUUUAUGAUAAUCAAAAUUGUCUUAGACAAGAAAAGGCUGGUCGAGAAUCCAACUGACAGAUGGCAAGAUCUUCAGUCUUCGACCUUAUCCCAGCGGUUUUCGCAUCCCCUGCUAUUGAAGAAGCUGUGGCACUUGAUUAGCUCAAUUGACAUCUUUUUAAAUGCCUAUCUGAGAUCCGAUUUUCAACCCAUGAGUAAGCGGAAGAGCAGGCAGCUAUUGAAUCAGCAGCACAUUUGCCGGAAAGAGCUCUCCCUAUUGCGCAUAGCCCUUUAUUGGGCAAGAGACCAGAACCAUUCCCCGCACCUUCCUUUAUUGUAUUAGCUUUGCAGUAAUAACUUCUUUGAGUAUGCAGUUGCCGAAUUAGCACUCGCGGAUUCAAACCCCUCCUUUCGUUUCGAAGCCUUGAUGUGCCGAAAGUUCGAAUAGCUUAAUCUCUCUCCUUACUUGAUUCAUAGGAUCUUGCAGGGUAACAGUCUAUUUACUCCUUUCCUGCUUGUACUAUUACUAAUAUUAUGUCACUUCCGGUAAGAAAGAGCGUCAUUCUCAAGCAGCUUUUUCUUUCCUCUGUCUCCUUUGCCCUUCGCACCUUGGAAUAUAGAAUAGAAACUUUUGAAUCCCAAAUUCCCCUCUUUCAUUCAUCUCAGAUGCACAGUGAAUCACGAGACAGGAGCGAAGACCUUUGAUAUUGAUAUUCCCGGAUCGAGUUCUUACCCUUAUCGAGCAGGAAAUAGGAAUAGAAUCGGACAAAGAGCUGUUAGCAGGGCUUGUUCACGAAUGCCCUGUUAUGUUAGAAGGAAUCAUUGGACAAAAGCGAAGUUGAGCCGCCUUUUAGGAGAGGAGCAGAAAGGAGGUUCUAGAACUGGAUUGUUUAGCAAAUACCAUAGCACAUAGUACUCGGAGCCCAGAGACAAAGACUCAAUUCAUAAAAGCUCAAACUUACCCAUCCGAACAAGACGCACAUAUCCCUUUUGGGGUCUGACUAGUGAGCCAGGCAGGAACAAAGCGACGAAAGUCUCCGCAAUUGUACUAACGAUAGUUCAACAUCUCCAAACGGGCAAACUUAUGGAUUGUGAGCUUUCUCACCAUUUCGACAUCUCUUUACCAUUUCAUCGUCGCAAUCAGACAAAAGGAGACCCGGUCCAACGCAUAAGACUACUACAUGGACCAUAUUUCAAUGGUACAAGACCUUUUCCCGAACCUCGUGCGAUUCAAUCUAUCUGCUUUAGAUCAUAAAAAAGCGUAUAUAACUAGUUAAUAAAAUGAACCAGCACUAGUCAUCCCAUUCUUUUUUGGUUUUAACCCCUACCCUAUUGUUGUUUGUUACAGGUGUCCUUGAGUGGAAUUCAGGGAAUCUGAAAGUAGGGACAGUAAACGCCUUUCUACUAGAAGGAAGGCUGGCGUCCAGAGGCACUACUAGGAAUAGGGACAAGGAAUGACUCCACUUUUGAAGAUUCUUACCGCCAGGGAGGGUUCUGGAUCUAAUAAGCUGGUCUCCUUUGAAAGCGGGGUUGCCUAAGAAAGCGCCUUUUCCUACUACUACUAGUAGAAUGCCGGUUUUCGUCACCUUUAUUUGAGUUGAUGAGGUGAUCUGAUCUCGCCUCUAGGCAGGUCGAAGAGAAGGUUGUUAUCACAGUCCUACCGCCGAAUACAACAAUUAGACUGCUCUGUUAGGAAGUGCUUUCUCCUAGACAUUCCCGGGUCGGUCCUUUCGCCUGGCCACCACCCACAGGGGACAAGGCCUUCUUCUCCAGUCGCGGAUUCUCCACUUCUUCGGAUUCGGAUGUAGAUGUGUCUGCUGAAAGCCUAGGUUUACUAUUAUAUAUAGCCCAGAGUAACGGAACAAAAUGGAAUCUAGAAUGGGUUAUUGAGGUAAAGGACUUCAACCUCGCUGGGUAUGAUGAAAAGCUCUCACCAGGAUUGUGUUUCCAGGUCGAUUGAAUCAACAUUUCCUUGUGAUAGCUGAGAAGCGUUCUAAAGACUUUUCGACAAGGGGGGCAAAGGAUUGAAUUGAAUACCUAGGGAGAGUGAAGUACCAUUCCAUAGCUUGAUCAGUAAGGCUCCUUGGGAAUAGUCUGAUCAUAAGACUAUCAUCAUGAGCCACUUCAGCACAUUAGGCGGAUGGGCAUAAAAGGAUUUCACGUGCGUAAGGGGAUCCCCCUUUUCGCUAUGUAGGUUCAACUACUUUUUGAUGUGGGCCCCAUCAUUCCUUCCAAAUCUAAGGAUCAUAGGGUUGAGGACCUCUUCAUACGAAUUUUUCUAUUUCCUCUUAAUGUUUCGAGCCACUGUCUCUUCAAGCCUUUUUAGCUGUUCCUGGACUUUUGCUAGGUUUACCCUGUGGAUUUUGAAAGAAAGGUUGUUGGCAAAAGCCUGGGUUAGGUGUGAAAGGUAUUCGGUUGCCACCAGCUCUUAAGCACACCCAUUGGCAUUGACUGCAUGGGAUCGAAAGACUUCCGGUUUCGUGAACGUGUCCAUAACUUUCUCAUGGAUCUGAUUUGGAUGAAUACACGGGAAGCCCAGAGACCUCAUUUGGCAUUGUGCGGCUUCUUUAAUUGCACUAGCGCACUCAGGUGAGCAACAAGCCGUUGGUUGAACCAAUAGGGGCUCUGGCAGAAGAUACCACCAGACACCCAAUCCCAGCAGAAGACAUGUUAGUAGGACGAAUCGGCUGUCUUUGACGUAGGCGAAGGCCAUUGCCUCUGAUAAGCCGAAUGUCCUUGUACGACUAAUUUGUCUUGUGGCGCCCGCUAAUCCAAUAACGCGAUCCGGGGAUCUAAGUAGGGUGGCUUUGUUGCCUCUAUUUUUUUCUAUUGUCGAAGCAAAAAGAAAGGGCAACUGUUCUCGAAUCAGCAAUGCCACAUCUGACUCAAUCUAAAAGCAUUUUAAAAACCUCCCUUCCCCCUUUUGCCAAGGAAAGCCUUGAAAGCAGGAAAGGCAAGUUCACAAAGGAAAGGGCUUUGGGCAUUAAAUGCCUUCUUAGAAUCCGCAGAGUAAGAGGUGAUUUUAAUAGCUUAAAAUAGGAUAUUUCUUUAUCUUUCUCGGAAUAUCCCUCUUUCGUACCCAAGAGUAGCGGGAUUUCUAAUAGGAGCAAUUAAAGGAUUAGUUAGCACUACCUCAGAUCCAAAAGGAGAAUAAGGGAAGGUGCCAAGUAGCUGAUUGCAACUAAGGCAAGGAAUAGGAGGGAAUGAAUGGCGCAUACCUAAUAUAGUAUAUAUAGGGCAUCAGUGAUGUCCCAAAAAGGUCUCGGCGAAGGACUAGGGCAUUGUUAGAAGAGUUAGCAGGAUUCGGGCCUAAAAAGCACUGCUUUCAAGAGUUUUUAUUCACUAACUGUUAGAGAGGCCAAAUCUCUCCGAAACUGGAUUUCUUUUGUAAUAUGUAUAACCUGCCCUUACCGCCGAUCGUACUCGGCUCGUGCCGUGCUUGGUGCCAUCAAACUUCUCUCUUAACCCGUUAUCGCCCCAUAGACUGAGAUAUGCUCCUGGCAAUGGAAGUAUAUAUGCAACUGGAGAAUCUUGUUAUGAAUCUGGAAAUAGAAUAUAUAUCCCUGGUAUGGUGAGCACGUAUGGCUAGUUCGACACCUGAAGCAAGACUCGGUCUUGUUCUAAGUCUAGGUCCAUUGAGGUAAACUCAUCGGCUUAUAUAAAACUCUUCAACGUCCGACUCUACGUCCAUACCAACCGUACAAGUACCGCUUGAAAAGCGUUUGAAGGGAAUAGGUCCUUAGCGCCUGAAUGUUUGUCAAGUCUUCAAAGCCCUCCCUUUCACUAGCAAUAGAACUCAAGCUGCACCACUUCCUCUUUAUCUGGAAAUCCUUGUCAAGGGAUGGAUAUGCGUUAAUUGACCAUAAGAACUGCCCUUAUUUCAGACUUUAGCAACCUUGACCUUACGAACCCAGGAAUUACAAUGAAUAGCAAGAUAUUUACCUUCAACGGCACUAAGAUUUUUGACUCGCUCCUUUCCUUGGACUGCUGCCCUUGGGAACGGGUUUGGGCAUACUCUCUCUGUGCUGGAAUGAUCCUCUAACCCUCAACAAGACUUCCCCCGAUCUUUUCUUUAGGCCAAGAGAAGGAAGUUGAAACUCAGUCGCCCCCCUAUCUAGUAGGGCUUGUCACCGAGAAUGUGGAAGAAUGGCUCACUUGUGACAGUAAGGGAGAAGCACUAAUGGUUUACCAAUACGGAGAUGCAGGGAUCAUUCUAUUCUCAAGAUCUACCCUAGCCCUUUCACCGGAGUCCAUCUUCGUCCCUUUCAAUCUCAACGCCCGGGCAGACCAGUGAAGCUGUUAGUAAGAGACCAGGCGAUAGAGACCAUAUCCCUGUAGAAGUCGUCUUUGGAAAGAAUUGUCUUUGCCACUUAAGAGUUAUUAUCUUUCCUGGCGUGGAAGCUGCAACAACUCCUCUUAUUGGCUAGACAUCUGGUCAUGCACAUCACAAUUAGACACAACUGAAUCUCUUAUUCGCCUUCGCCUUCCAAGGGCGAUUUUCUUAGUCUUCCGGGACCUCUCAGGCUAAAGUGAAUACAAUUUGAGCGGGGCACGGUUGGCGAUAAGCUGGUACUGUAUUUUUAUUAAAAAACCCGAAACUGGAAAAUCCAAUAUACUAACAAUGUAGGCACACGUUGGCACAGUUCUGUAAAUAAGAGAUGUCGCAAUCAGUCUUUCUCGUCCUGGUAGCAGUACGAAUAGGAGAUCAAAUAUGACUCCUUUAGAAUGCGCCAAAGACAGGUUUCAGUUCCAUCUUCUACAAAUGCUUUCAUUGAGAUUGGCUUGGUGGUCUUUAUAUACGAAUAUUCUUGUUUACCCACCCUACUUCUUAUUGAGCCGCUUACAGUCGAUAUAUGAAAGUAAGGCGUGGGCACGUUGGAACGAUCCCGCUUUGAAAGCUCAACCUCGAGAGAAUCAGUUUCGCCGGUCCAGUGACUUGGCAUACAAAGGCGAGUAGGGUUCUCCUCUAUGUGGUGCACUCCCGCUUCUUCAUACCCGGAAGAAGUUUGAGCUGCUCCAAGGGACAGCUUUUUGCUGCCGGAUGAAGGUCUUACGUCGGCUAAGAAGACGGAAAAUUCCAUCUUUUUGCGGUCCUGGAGAUCGGGGAAAUAAGAGUUCGCCCUCCCUAUGAAGAGGGGGUGCUCGCAAAGUCAAAGUCAAAAAUUCGAUUCUUUCAUUAAGACAGGGGUAGGGGGAAUAAAUAGUUUAAGUGAUUUACACCUCGAAGUAGAGUGUGUAAAUACCGGAUGCAUAGGUUGAGUCAUUCGCUAAACAACUAUUUUGUUAGGCGAUCAACCAGGUGCUCCCACCCAACCGGACUAAUGAAUGCCAACUGGAAGAACUCACUUUCCUAUCGUUCAGUAGGAGAUCCCUUCUUGUGGCUUGAAAAUGAUUACCUGUUUAUAACACAAAAAGGAGAGAUCUUUCAUUAGGGUUUGAUGCUCCUCAAUGGAGAUAAUCAGAAUAAUAGCUUGCUUGUGGAACCCUUUGUUUGGUACUUUAAUGGGGGUAUUCUUGUACAGCUUGGCCCUUUCCCUGGCGCACUGCCAUCGAAUCUACUAGUCCUCCUCAAACCCAAUGGGAUAGAAUUCCUUGCGAAUUAUAGUUUUCAACUUCUUCCGUGACAACCCAGAAAUGUCAUGGUUCCUCAUAUAUGCAUUCCAUCAAGUUAGUGCAUAAUUUGACGAUUUCGAUUUUCUUUCUCCGAUCCAGUUCGUUCUGUCUUCUUUCCGACGGAUCAGCCCUAUUCUAUUAGAGAAGGGCUUCCGAUUCUGUAUGACAACAGAACGAGCAUUCGCUGGACGGCCAAACAUUGAAUGAAAUGUUGGCAUGGGGUUUCGGCAAUUUCAAUUCCAUUUUCAGUCUUUUUCAAUUUCAAUUGAUCUUGUAUACGCCGGUUGAAGCACACGUUGGAGCAUCCAAAUCAACCAGCAGAGGCUGCUGUGGCAGAGACAACAGCAAAAGCAUUUGUCUCCGUUGAUCACCUAUCAGCAGGGGAAGCAGCAUAGAUGGCAGGAACUAACUAGGGUUUAGGUACCAAUUCGAAGAGCAUUCGCUAAAGAAAACACCUUCUCAAAAUUAUUCAAAGCUUUGGUCUGAAAUAAUUUCCAAUGCUAAGCUUCUAAUUGAGAAUUCUCGUUGGCUUAUUGGAGAUGGAACUGAAACUCACUUUUGGACUGAUAACUGGUUGCUGGAUAAGCCAUUAAUUUAAUAUGCUACAGCGUAUCCUCUUUGCUUUCCUAAAAUUGUUGAAUUACUGGAUAGCAAUGGGAACUGGAACUUAAAACCUGUUAUUGGUCAGCUCCCAUCUGAAAUUGUUGAAAGCAUCAUCAGCUUAGAUAUCUUUCUUUCAGAAAAAAAGGACAGAGUUGUGUGAAUUAAGGAGAACUCAGGUAGCUUCACUGUUCGGUCCGCUUUGGAGUUAAUUCGUAAUAGAACUGAGUCAAAUACCUGGGCAAAAGCAGUUUGGAGCAAGAAUGUCCCACCAAAGCUUAACAUGUUUGCUUGGAAGCUUUUUUACCAUGCAUUACCUUUGGAUAACAGGGCUUUAGCGGGGCUUGGGAUUUACGAAUCAAACCCCCUUCUAUGAAGUGAAGCAACCGAACCUGUCGAAUGAUUGAGACCGACCUCCUUUCCUCAAAACACCACACCCAGCAACUCCCUGUGUUGCCCUUUUUCCACCGUAGACAACACGCGCAAUGGUUCGUCAGGAGCGAAGAGUUCGGUGAUAUGCAAGAGUGACUUUCCUCGGAAAAGAACACCACCGAGCGGACCCUGUUCCCUUUAAAGCGCUGGCAUAAAGAUGCUGCCCGAGAAAACUUGCUGCUUCAUUGGUUGAUCGAACCUCAUGUUUUCGAUCUCCUGCUGCUAAGCUCAAAUCUCAUUCUAUAAGGGCAUUUUAGCAGCCUGUAACACAUGUUGAACACGGGCGCUAGCCGACAUUACAUCUACCUCUUUGAGAAAGAUCAAAGGGGACGCCUCGCAAAGACUACUCAGAGCAGAUUUCGUGCUCAAGACGAGACUCCUCAUCUAAGUCAAUAGAUGGGGCAGAUGGUUUCUCUCUUCACGAGUCGUCUGGCUCCAUACUUACCCCCCUUUUCCGACCUCCGAGCCGGCUACUGCUUUAUCAAAUCAUUCCUUUUCGCGCGCUACUUCACUUAACGUUUUUAUUUCCUUGUGAUUCUAGGAAGUUUGAAACUACCUUUGCUUAUUUAUUCUUCCUGUUCUUCGGGUCUCAUCUGAACGGCUCGCUGCCUAUUUUGUUACUUUCUUUGUUUGGAUUCCAGAACAGAACUACAGAUCCUGGCCCCCUCCAUUCGACCUUGUAAAAGGUCUCAAUGGGGAGGAGCUCUCUUGGGGCCCUGCUCACAGCUCUCCAUCUUAUGCAUCAAAAGGUUCAAGUAAUCCAUAUUCUUCUUCCCCACCCCCUACCUUGAAAGAACAUCGGUAAGUUUGCAUUAGUUCAGCUGGAGUAAGGAACCCAGUACGAAUGCUUUCAGUGGUUCUCCUAGGUUAGAAAGGGGAGGUGGGCGGGAUAAGAGAAGCAGCAAAGCGCAAGAGCAACUACUUCCCCCUCGUAUAGGUCAAAUUUACAUAUUUUGAAGAUAGCUUGAAUGAAAGAUGGAUGCUAGGUAGGACCAGAUUCCAUCCCAUCGGUUGAUCAAUCAAUAGAGGGAGGAAUAAACCAAUACUAACUAACUAACCGAUACAGGGAGCAAAGGCCCUAGGUAGAUGGUACGCUUCGUCUCGCUUCUUCACCCGGUGACUUAUAUAUCUAUUCAUUUCCCACGUACUCACUGACGAACUGUACUAACUGGUGGGUUGAUCCAGGUAGCUCAGAUCUGGGAAUGUACUACAGGGAACCUUCUCUAGUCUAGGAGCAUUUCCACUAUGUCUGUGUUCUUUCAAUGCCCCUUCCUAUAAGAACGUGCUAAACGAGCUAACAGUCAGUCCUGUCCUAAAGGCCUAUAAGUUCUACCAAUCCCCUUAAUACAAAUAGUAUGUGAUUGAUUGUGCUUAUCCCUAGUUCGGGUGCCCUUCCCCCUAGUGUAAUUCCCCAGUAGGAGUCUUUACUAGUGGCAUGCCGGAUAUUCCCAUUGUCUCACGAGUGGGAUUAAUCCUGUAAUAGUACCAGUCCUUAUCCAUUUAAAAAUUCCUUUCCUUAGGCAUCGCAAUGUUCAUGUCACCGGUCGUACCAACUACGACAGCGCGAUCAAGAGAGAAUGUUAUCCUCAUGCCAUACCAUCUAGGUGGGAUUCAUUCUAUCUAAUUAUCCUUGGGAUUGAUAGUGAUAGUAGUCGUUAGGAAGGCAAGUGAAGGGAAUUCCUUUCUAUAAAGAGUAUGUGAUCAGCACGAAUUGUUUCAUUCUGUUUUUCCGUAAGUCAAGCUGGCUGGCCAAAGCUUCUUUUCCAGGUCCAGAAGUCGAUCCAGUGGGUAGAGUGUGGCAUCUUAGUUAGGACGAGGUUACAUCAGAGUUGAUUGAUCUUGUUUAUACCACUGAAAGAACUGAAAGAGGUGGCCGGGCUUCGACAACUGCAGCAUCAGUGGUGUGGAAAUGCCUCUUUGACAUAGCUGCAAAGACGGUGCCAGUUCAAUUCCUUAUUGAUUGCUACCUCUAAUCCAACAAGAUAGACUGAGAUCUGGACAUAACCUACGCGCUGCUCGUGUGAGGGCAAAAGCAAUUUCUUUAUUUUUUCUUUCACAUUUAAUAAAUUGAGUAUGAACUGCAGUUCCAUAUGCUCAUCGGUCUUUCACAACAAGCCAAAAAGGCAGGUUCAUCAACCCUGCGAGGGUAAGUUGUUCGCUUCUAGAGCGCUCAGCCCUGUGUCAGAAAGAGAGUGAGGGCCUGCCAGUACCGGCUAAGAUGAGUGAAAUCCAUUUUUUUGGCUAAA
RNAcentral lists this long non-coding RNA (9347 nucleotides) under Vitis vinifera (wine grape). RNAcentral's name for it is "long non-coding RNA (VVIN_LNC006774)". Lineage: Eukaryota; Viridiplantae; Streptophyta; Magnoliopsida; Vitales; Vitaceae. The record is from RNAcentral.